RNAcentral lists this ribosomal RNA (251 nucleotides) under uncultured bacterium. Its description in RNAcentral is "partial 16S ribosomal RNA". It matches the Rfam family "Bacterial small subunit ribosomal RNA", at positions 524 to 776 of the family's 1533-position model. The record is from RNAcentral.
GACGGGGGGGGCAAGUGUUCUUCGGAAUGACUGGGCGUAAAGGGCACGUAGGCGGUGAAUCGGGUUGGAAGUGAAAGUCGCCAAAAAGUGGCGGAAUGCUCUCGAAACCAAUUCACUUGAGUGAGACAGAGGAGAGUGGAAUUUCGUGUGUAGGGGUGAAAUCCGUAAAUAUACGAAGGAACGCCAAAAGCGAAGGCAGCUCUCUGGGUCCCUACCGACGCUGGGGUGCGAAAGCCAGGGGAGCGAACGGG